UCCUGACUCUGUUGGCCUUAGAGCCUGAGC
This 30-nucleotide non-coding RNA is filed under the name Rattus norvegicus (Norway rat). The record is from RNAcentral. Lineage: Eukaryota; Metazoa; Chordata; Mammalia; Rodentia; Muridae.